UACAGAGGUCCCGAGCGUUGUUCGGAUUUACUGGGCGUAAAGGGCGCGUAGGCGGCAAUUCAAGUCAUCUGUGAAAUCUCCGGGCUUAACUCGGAACUGUCAGAUGAUACUGCUUUGCUAGAGUGCAGAAGGGGCAAUCGGAAUUCUUGGUGUAGCGGUGAAAUGCGUAGAUAUCAAGAGGAACACCUGAGGUGAAGACGGGUUGCUGGGCUGACACUGACGCUGAGGCGCGAAAGCCAGGGGAGCAAACGGG
This 253-nucleotide ribosomal RNA is filed under the name uncultured bacterium. RNAcentral's name for it is "partial 16S ribosomal RNA". It matches the Rfam family "Bacterial small subunit ribosomal RNA", at positions 524 to 776 of the family's 1533-position model. The record is from RNAcentral.